Molecule: transfer RNA, 74 nt
Filed under: Candidatus Desulfofervidus auxilii
Lineage: Bacteria; Pseudomonadati; Thermodesulfobacteriota; Candidatus Desulfofervidia; Candidatus Desulfofervidales; Candidatus Desulfofervidaceae
Rfam family: tRNA
About the family: Transfer RNA (tRNA) molecules are approximately 80 nucleotides in length. Their secondary structure includes four short double-helical elements and three loops (D, anti-codon, and T loops). Further hydrogen bonds mediate the characteristic L-shaped molecular structure. tRNAs have two regions of fundamental functional importance: the anti-codon, which is responsible for specific mRNA codon recognition, and the 3' end, to which the tRNAs corresponding amino acid is attached (by aminoacyl-tRNA synthetases). tRNAs cope with the degeneracy of the genetic code in two manners: having more than one tRNA (with a specific anti-codon) for a particular amino acid; and 'wobble' base-pairing, i.e. permitting non-standard base-pairing at the 3rd anti-codon position.
Source: Rfam by way of RNAcentral
GCGGGAGUAGCUCAGUUGGUAAGAGCAUCAGCCUUCCAAGCUGAGGGUCGCGGGUUCGAAUCCCGUCUCCCGCU